AUGGAGAGGGCGGCUCGGGAUGGAGGUAGACGAUAUGAGCCGUCUUGCAGAAGAUUCCGUGCUAACGGUGUUAGAGAGUACAUCUAUGGUGCCCGGCCGUUGCAGGCUGCAGCUACCAACCUUCCCCAACACGGCGUCUUCUCCACACGCCCUGCUAAAUCCAAUCCAAAGCAGAAUAGAUCCGCCGCGCGCGGCAACCAAUCUCCCAUCUCUUGGAUCGCUCGUGGUGGAGCGAAUGCAGGGCAUCGUUUCUACAGGUGCAGCGAGAGAGAUGGUGUACUUUGUGGAUUCAUGAGAUCGAAAGAGGAGUACAAGGUGAAUAGCGUACGAGGUGAUUUGGGAAUAGAGCUGCUGCCGGAUUUCAUUAUCGAGGUGGUGCUGUUCUUAUCUGUCUGA
Molecule: ribosomal RNA, 396 nt
Filed under: Triticum aestivum (bread wheat)
Lineage: Eukaryota; Viridiplantae; Streptophyta; Magnoliopsida; Poales; Poaceae
Description: partial small subunit ribosomal RNA
Source: RNAcentral